This 208-nucleotide unclassified non-coding RNA is filed under the name soil metagenome. RNAcentral describes it as "partial contains 5.8S ribosomal RNA, internal transcribed spacer 2, and large subunit ribosomal RNA". The record is from RNAcentral.
AACCAUAGAAACCUGCGGAGUACCUGCGGAAGGAUCAUUACCGAGUUUACAACUCCCAAACCCCUGUGAACAUACCUAUACGUUGCCUCGGCGGAUCAGCCCGCGCCCCGUAAAAAGGGACGGCCCGCCCGAGGACCCCUAAACUCUGUUUUUAGUGGAACUUCUGAGUAAAACAAACAAAUAAAUCAAAACUUUUAACAACGGAUCU